GAAAUCGUGCUAAAAUGUCUAAAGCACGAUAUUGCAUUCCCAUUGACUUCCAAAAUAUGAGUAUUGUAAGCUUUUGGGUUUAUACUUAUGUUUUACGUAUAAACAAUUAGAAUGUUUUAUCAUAUAGUAUUAAACCGUCGAUGUUUCUCUAAUUAGAAUGAAAUAUAAGUCAAAAACCAAGGAUGGUUGGGUCAAGAUUUUAUAAGUAAUAUAAAUCUGGACAUUCUAAAACGUGUUGGAUAUGUGGUCAUGUAGACUGUAGAGUUAUGACUUGCACGCGAAUGUGGGGACAAAUGGUUGGGACGC
Molecule: long non-coding RNA, 306 nt
Filed under: Brassica napus (rape)
Lineage: Eukaryota; Viridiplantae; Streptophyta; Magnoliopsida; Brassicales; Brassicaceae
Description: long non-coding RNA (BNAP_LNC006340)
Source: RNAcentral